GUCGAUGAUAUAUAUGGGCAUCACAUCCACUGAUCAGAUAUCCAUCAAAUCCUCGAAGGGAGCGCAAAAUGCUGAUCUGCCCGCCACUGGGGUGCAUAUUAAAACGGACGCGCGCAGACUCUCACGCACUCUUCCCGCAACUAUCAGCCACACCGUACCACAUCUACCCGGAGAGGAUCGCUGAAUUAGAAUGAUCCAUCAGAGGCGUGCGCAGCGCAACCGCUCAAGUGUGGGAUCCGCACAUGGGUGGAGAGGAAGGGAUCCCAUAUUCCUAAACCCUGUGACAAACAGUUAGACAGUGAAGUAUAAGAUUCACGAAGUUCCUUUUCUUCAGGGUUGGUACCCCACCUUCGUUAGGGCGCUGUUGAGUGACCCUGUCAGCGACUCAGUGGCGAUAAGCUGCGCCAAGAUGGUUUCAAGGCGCAGGUUCAGCUCAGUCAGCAGUGGGAUAAAAAUAUGUUCUCCACAUAACUACCUUCCUAUUGAGCUUUAAUUGAUGUUGAACAACAGUGACCAUAUGAACUGGACAAUCCCCUUUUGUGGCAAGUGUGCAAUGCACAAAAAUGGUCCACAAAAAUGAGGCAAGAAGCUAUUUAAACUAUGUUUUAGAGAAAAAAGUAAGAAUUUCAAUGUAUAUAUUAUUUAAUUUCAGUUGUUUUUGUUAGGUCGCUUUCACAAAUAGACUCCACAAAGUCAAAAUGCAGAAUAUCUCUAAUCAUGUUUCGCCUGUACAUAAUUGUCAUGCCUGUAUCAAUUUAAGGUUGUCUUGAUGUCAAUAAAAUGUCAAAAAUACUCUGUUACUUCAGAAGCAUAACAAAGGCUUCAUAAAUUUCAAACCAAGUUUAAAACAAACUCUGUCCAGCACAUAAUAUCUCGAUUCAGGUUUGACCAUAUGAAGUAAUUUAGAUUUAUAAUUAGAGGUCAUCAAAAAAUUCUAAAUUUAAGUUAGCCCCAAAUAGGAAUUUAAAAUUGGUUCCUUCCCAGUCUUUUGUUUACCACAUAUUUUCCUCGCUGUGCAGUUACAACAGAGAGAGGUGUGCAGUCUCUGAUGACUGGAAAUAGCAAGAAGAAACCUUGUGGUGGGAUUGAGGAGGACAUGAAUAAAUAGAUUGGAGACUCGCCUGAUCCAGAGAUCGUAGGGCAGACACAUAACUUACUGGAAGAACUCUAUGUCCCACCUGGAAUGUAAACACCUUGGGAUUUCUUAUAGUGACCUAAAGUAUAUUGCAAGAUAGAUAUUUGUUUUGUUUUUCCCUCUGGACAUUGUACCGCUGCAACCCAAUUUCCAAAAUUGCAGAAGAAAAUGUCUGACUGUUUGGGUAUGCAAAUGAUGACAGUAGACAUAAGUGGUGGCAUCAUAAGUCCUUUAGUGUGUUAAAGACAGUUGUCAGAGCACUUCACUGUCACUCAAAGCAGUAAGUGAGGGUCACUAAACACAGACAAUACUUCUUUCAACAAUACUUUGGCAUGGAUUGCCAGUACUUGACAGAUUUUGACAAGAAUUGCAUUGUGGGCAGGAUGGAGAUUAUACUGUGCAACAGCCUGGGGAAUACAAUUGUCACUGUGGCCUGGUAUUGGAAACAAUGGAUAAAUGGUGGCAGCCACAAAUAUCCUGUUGUUGUAAAAAGUACACCUCAGUUGCAUCGAUUUUAAACCAAGUCUUUCUUUGACAUCAGAGUGUUUAUUGUCCAAUAUUUCAGCAAUAAAUGUGCAUAUAAAUUCUAUCUGAUUACAUAUCAGCAUGCUUGUUUCAACUAACUAAACCUAUUUAUUCAUGAAAUAAUGGCACGUGGCUCAAACUCCUUGAAAGAAAAUUACAGAAUUCAUGCUAACUUUAAAUAUUGAAUGCAGUUCCAACUCACUAUUCAUCAUGCAACAUCUGUGAGCAAAUGAUUGUACUGCAGUAAAAUCUCGCUUUUCUGAGAUCACUGGUGCUAUAAACCAUAUGUUUUUAGCCAUUUUUUCAAUAUAUGUGUGAGGUACAGAAUAAUUUGCCCUAAAUAUCUUUCUCUUUGCUUCAUGUGUAUGUUUUAUUUCUUUACAUGUGACCUUUUGCUCCCAGCUGAAGAAUAAAGUUCACAAGGGAGUCAUAGGGAAUGCUGCAAAUACGCAAGGAGUUUUGGUCUAACAGCAAAAGUCGGCAUCAAAGUGAGAAGAAAACUAGGUAUGCCACUGUGGAGAAUAAAUGACCUAAUUUCAGUAGGAGCAAUAGUGUUUGGAUGAGACUGCAUGAUAAGUGACUGAUUGUCUGUCAUCAGUUUAUAUUGAACUAAGAUUGCUGAUAUAGGUGAAUGUGUUGAAAGCAAUAAAACAUUUUUAUAAUGCA
Molecule: long non-coding RNA, 2326 nt
Organism: Fundulus heteroclitus (mummichog)
Lineage: Eukaryota; Metazoa; Chordata; Actinopteri; Cyprinodontiformes; Fundulidae
Exons: 2
Source: RefSeq, a predicted model, not a curated record